This is a long non-coding RNA of Oxyura jamaicensis (ruddy duck), 7619 nucleotides long. RefSeq lists it as uncharacterized. Lineage: Eukaryota; Metazoa; Chordata; Aves; Anseriformes; Anatidae. The transcript is spliced from 2 exons. The record is from RefSeq and is a predicted model, not a curated record.
CUUUGCAUGUCUAAGGAUGAGUUUCUCUUACUAUAGGUUGUUCGCACUGCAUUGUUUCAAGACAGAAUAUACUAAUCAUGUCUAGCACAGGCAACAUUUUUUCCUGCCCCACUUUAUCAGCUUUUAGAUACAGCAAUAUGGGGUUCAGAGUCAAGGCCAUUUCUAUGCAUGAACAGUAAUCCACAAAUAUUUGCAAUCAACUGUCACCAUAAAUUUGGCAGUUCUUUUUGUCCAUCUUAAGCAUAAAUGUCUCCUUUCUUCAGGAGAGGAAAUAGCAGAACAUAUUUUUGCACUGGAACGUGAGGAAGGGAAUUUCUCAUUAACAAAACCUGUUUCUUAUGCUCUUAUACAGCAUUCCAUUAUACUCAAAUACAGAGAGGUAUGUUAUGUUCUGUAUGUUUGUUAUUGAUCAUAAUUCUUGCUACUGAUCAGCACUGAAUAAAGACACUAUCACUACAAUUUUCCAGUAUUAUUUCAUACAUAUCCCCAUAAAAGUAAUGCUUAUAAAUCAAUAACCUGUAAGAUUAUAAUACCAAACAUUGUAAUAGUUUACAAUAGAUAAUCAUAACCUUAUUUAUUUACAUGACUGGUUAUUUAACUUGUUCUACAUAGAGGCUAGACACAUCAAAUCAAAAAAAAAAAAAAAAAAAAAAAAGUGUCCUUGUAUUUCUUAGAUUAUCUUUUAAUGCUCAGAGCAUUAUUGUUUAGCAUGAAAAAAUUAAAAAAAAAAAAAAAAGCAACAACACAAAAGAACAACAAAAACAAAUGAGAUUAUAUGGACAAUGCAGAAGGGGAUUUUCAGCAAUGAGAUUUCCACUUGGCAGAAGACUAUUGCCUUAACAAAAGCUAUGAUUUUCCCCAGAGGCAGUUUGCUAUAAAAUAAAUGUUUGUAAAAAUUUUAUCAUUUCCCAGCUCAUGGCAGAACUGUGAAUAUGCAGGUGGUAUAUAAACCGAAUGUAUCACAUUUAUACUGCUUUAACUAAUAAACAAUCUGGUAACUAUCAAAAAAGAAUUCAUAUCAGGUAGGCAAGCGCAGCACGCCUGAGUUCCCUGGUAGCACAGUACAAAUGGCACAUUGAGACAUCACAGAGAAUUAGCUUUCACGGUAGAAGCCAGUUACUCUAGGUUUAAGAAUGCAUCCAGACAAUCCAAACACCCCUGCUCGGCAGCUGCCUAACCUUGGAAGUGCUUAAACCUCAUUACAUGUCCUUCUGGUUGGCGUUAAAAUUCUCUGGCAGUGUAUCUGUCGUUGGGUUCUGCUGUCUGGCUGAACAUCAUCAUCAGGAAUGGUUGAGGCCUUCUCCCACAUGAGCUUCAUGGGGAUCCAUGGGAUGGGCAGAAGACAGCUGCUGCUCUCUGGUCUUCCCGUAGGAUGGGGCCCCUCCUAAAAUUCACCCAGAGCUGGCCUUGUAUUGCAAAUUUCACAACAGGGUAAGACGAAUUUGCUAUGCCCAUAUUUGAUUGAAAGGAUAAAAAUUGUAACAAUUAAAAGGCUCCCAGGCUGAGAGGAGUUUCAAACAAGGCUGAAGAUGCAUCCUAGAGGAAAAAAAAAGCUGGCCAUGGCAGCAUGGAGCUGGUGCACCACAAGUGGGCAUGACCUAUCUGCCCCUGGGGAAAGGAGGAUGCUUUGCAGAGUGGCAAAGAAGAAAGACAUGAGAAAGCAUGACUUUGUGCCUGGUGCUGCAGGCCACGUUUGAAAAUAUCUGCAGAUCAGCUCAUCAGCUCAUCUUCUGAUGUUCUUGGUGCCUUGAAAGUAUUUGCUUAGGAAAUCACACUUUUUUUUUUUUUUUUUUCAUUUGCACAGUUAUCUGUUUUUUGUUUGUUUGUUUGUUUGUUUUUAACCAAAAUGAAGAGCAGACUGUGAAAUGUAUCAGUUACAUGGAAAUAUGUUUAUAAUUGUGAUUUAUUUUAUCCUUUGUAGUAUUUUUACGGAGUCUCUUCAGUUUUCUUCUGAACCAAUGGCACAUAUAUGACAGGCUUUAUAAUACUGCACAAGGCUGCAGUCUCCCUUUAUUCUUCCAUGAAUCUUAUAUUCCUUCCACCUCAUUGCUUUAACAAUAAAUAAAUGUUUAAAAUGCAGUUUUAUACCUAAAACCUUAGGCUCACUUGGUAGAAAGUUGGUAAAAUGGAUUCAGACCUGCAUGGACUAAAGCACCUAUAUUCAGUGCAGGUCAACCAAAUGAGUAGGAACACAAGCAGAAGAUAAGAAACACACCUGCAGUUUGAAUUUUUUACUGCCUAGAAGAGAGCCCUCUGAGCAGCGUGCUGUUUUUUGAGUACAAUCUUCUGAAGCUGUUGGAUGUCCCCUUCUGCUUGUGGAGAUGCUUACUAGGUAGCUCUGGAAGCUCAAACCCACUUCACAGUUUCAGUGUCUGAUUGAUGUUGCAGUUUCAAUCUUGCAGGAACCGUUCAUUAGAUCUGUCUGUGUAUCUCAAGACAGGGUCAACAUAAAGAUUUCCUUCAUCUACUGGAGAGCUUAAUUGGAUAAUCCUUCAACGAUGAAUUACAUAAUGGACUGUCAGGGCUCUCUGAAGUCAACUGCCAUUCUUAUUUUAUCCUAUGAUGUGGUGUGAGGAUUAAAAUUUCAGAUUUUAUGGUGCAGUUAAGAUAAAAGGACUCUACCAGAGAAACUGUACUCCUUUAUUUGUAGCGUGUGAGAAACUCACAAUGAUUGGAAAGGGAUGGUAGAAAAUUUCUUCGUGUCAUGUUUUGAUUCAGAUGUCUUUGCAAUUGCUUCUUUUUGGACCUUAAGAAUCUCGAGACCUCAAACAUUGAGGCCAAUUACCUUUCAUUUUUGAUGUGAAUAAAUAUAAUUUCUUUUGGACACAGAACUAAGUGAAUACAUUUGCAGUGAAUAGUUAAAUUUCAAGUAGCAUUUAGUAUUUUUCUCUAUUUUUUAAAGUUUAAAAAUAAACAGUGUGAGUUCAUUGUAAAAUUUAAAACGAUGCUGACAUUAUUUAUUAAAAUUAAGUUCAGAUAGGAAUGUUAGGUUUACUUUUUUUUUUUUUUUUCCUUUUUCUUUUUUCUUUUUAAUUGUAGUAGAGCCCUAUGUAAGGCAAUUCUGCCUAGAAGAGAUUUGUGAAAUCUACUUUUCUGAGGUGGUGGUGUGUUAGAGGUGUUUCUUUGACCCAAACACAUACAGCACAUAGACAAUAUUGAAGGGAGGUAACUUGUGCUAAACUACAGGACUGUUGGUGACAUAUUAAAAGUUCAAAGCACAUGAAAUAUAUUUUUAUAGUAGACUUCAUAUCUUCAGUCUAGCAUGUAGUUGGAUAAUGAAGACUAGAAAUGAGCUUUUAAAGGAGUUUUGGGUGUGAUAAUAGGUCUUUUAGUGAGAAAUGUUUAUGAGAAUAAGAUGUCUCACUCUUAUUUUGAGGUGUCACAUUUUGAAAGUUUUGAUAAUUCAUGUACCUGCUUAUGCUAUUAUGUUAGCUCACAGUUGGCUCAUCUCUACAUUCCUUAGGAUUUAUGCCUUAAAUAGCUGAUAAUCAAGUGUAAACAAUUGUUACUUUUUAAAAUAGGAUUUACAUAUAUUAUGAUAAACCUGAUACUCUCAGAAAGUAACUACAGGAGGGCACUAUUAAUUCUAAACGAGCAUUUCCUGUUCCUCUGUCCUCAUCUUCCUCCUGGCACCCUUACCUUCCUCUGCUGGCAGACAAACAACAAUAAAAUGAGAUUCCAAAGCUAAUUGUGGUAGGACUGAAGUGCAUGAAUUGCUGAUGCCAGGAAGGUUCCCUAGGCUUCAUGAGAAAACUGAGCUUGUAGCCACGUGCAGGUCUGGCAGGUACUAUUGGCACCCAGGCUUCCUUACAAAAAAAGAUUUGUCUUGGGUCAGAAUGCAGAAACCAACAAUAAUCCAUGUUGCAUAAACAACACCAGCAUUAAAACUCCACUGCAGAAGUGUGAAGGCUAACUUUGCCAUUUAGAGGCACCUAAUGAAGAUUUACUGAGUCAUUUAAUAGACCUACAGAGGCUCUGUAAGUGUUUUAUUGAUCUGUUUUGUGUUCACAAUAGCAAUUUUAAUUAUUUUUAACAUUUUUGGAAAUUAAUAAUUAGAAUAGUUCACAUGCUGUGAUUUUUAAAUUAACAGAAUUCUUUUACUUUGGGCUUUAAAUAUCAGCAGUAGCUUCAUUGAUGGAAAAAUUUGGCGAAAAUAUUAUUCAAAAUUUCAUGUUUCAGAAUACCAGAUGAAGCAAGAAAUUACUCAAUUUUUUGCUGCUUGGCUUGAAAUUUAAACUCUUUCUCAAUGUACAUCUUUGCCUUUUGAACACUAUCCUGUACAAAAUAGCUGCCAUUUACAGUGGAAAAAAAAAGUUACAUGGUGCUUUUCCCAUGGGACUUUUUUUUUUUCCUUUUUGUAAGUUUUCCCCCCUUAAACUGAAAGUAAUUCAGACAUGAAAGCAUACGCUCUUGCUCUGUAUAUAUGUAAAAGAAGGAAAAAAAAUAAAGGGAAAAUCCCUCCUCUUUUCACACAGCAAAUGUCCCUUGGCCAUUGAUAAUUGAUUAUUUUAUUUCAUCCUCAGUCUUUUAUGCUCAAGUCUGUUUUCACUAGCUAUUUCAUCAACUGGUUUUUGCUGUCACCUUUUGUUCUUAUUUCAGUGACCGUUUUUUUGCAGCAGAACCUUUUACUGCUCAGGAUAUAGCUGGCUUUUUGUUUGUUUGUUUUUAAUUCUGAGACUGAUAAAAGCAUAUUAAGGUUAAUGAAUGCAAAAAUUCUCCAUCAGUUUUCAGAGAUGAGAAUGUCAGAGGUUCAAAUUGGGUAAGCUCCCUAGUAACAGAGACAUAAUAAACAACAUUCAGAAUAAUAUGAUCUGAGGUCAAAGUCAGUAAUGAUAAAUUCAUUGCAGUGCUUUAAAGUGUAAUCUUUGUUUUUUUUUUCACUAUCCUGGAUUUCUUUACUUUCUCCAUCCUAUUUCCAGUUAUUUGUACUUCAUCAUUCAUUCCAAAUUAUGAUGGCAUCAGUUAUUAUUGCUACCUCUGUAUUAAUGUAAUUUGAAGCUUUUUCCUGAGCCUUUAACAUCACUGGACACAUUGUUCUGGAACCUCAUAAUACUGAAAUCCUGAUGGCCACAGCUUCUGCAUGUUUUGAAUAUAUCUGCUCUUUGGCUCAAUAGUUCUGUGGCCUUUAUAUACAAACAUAUGGUAGCAUGAGGUAUUUUGAGUAACAUAAAGUGUAGGGAGUAGUUCUGUGAGGGUCCAUUGAGGCAGUGUUGUAACAAUGUGGUUUUGUGAGAUAUGUAUUGAUAUGUAUAUACCAGUUAGUCUCAGUUUAGAUCUUCAUUUAAAAAUAAAAGUUUGUGAAUUGUGCUUCCAUAUCUGUCUGAUGCUUUUUCCUGCCCUAAUUCAAUAUUAAUUUAAUAAUUAAUAUUGAUCAAUAAUUAAUAUUGAUCAAUUUUCAAACUUGUAGAGGUCCAACUGAAAUUAGAAAUUAGUGAAAUAAUUCACAGUUCCGGAAGGCACACAUUGGAGACGAUGAGAUAGAUGGAUUUUUUGUUCUGCUAGUGCUAGGCUGUUGGUAAUUGAGAAGUAAAUGUAAUUUGGAGAACUCAGAAGGCUUUACAUGAUAAAACUACUGAAGGCUCCCUCCCUGCCAGGUUAUCUGUAGCACAUCACUACAGCUGUAUCUCCAGAUUACAUUUUCUUUCAUUGUAUUGUUCUCCCUUACAACUGUUCAUCACCAUUUGCAAUGUCGGAUUCAGAAAUUAGUGUUCAGUUGUGCCCUAGAGUCAUCUGUUAGCCAAAGUAUUGAAAUUUGGAACCUCCUUUUACACUGGUGAAAACCUUUUAACUGAUUUAUGAGAACUGGAACAAGAGUGAAAAUGUUAAUGCUUGUGUCUAUAUAACCCAAGAAAGCAGCUGUUUCCUAAAUGCAUGAUACAUUUCACUUUUGACCAAGCUGUAAAUAGCAAGAAUUAAGGCUCUCUUCUCAUCCUGUGACAUACUGUUUUUAUAGGAUGAAAUUACAAGAUGUGUAGAGUGAAAUGUUUCUGGGAUUCCAUUUAAAACAAACAAACAAAAAAACGACUUUACUGGCUUUCUUUAUGUAAAGAUUUAAGCAUGAAAAAGAAAGGUUCAUAUUUACUGGUUUUAAUUUCCUCUUACCUUAAUAUUUACAUCUGCACUGUACCAUUUUUUGUUUGCUUGUUUUCGUGCAUAUACGUUGUGAAGACAUAUGCCUCACAGUAAAUAUCUGUCAUUUGUUAUCUGAUUUCAAUCAUGUUUACAUAGUUAUCACAGUUAAGCAAAUGUAUGAAAAGAUUCAUCUUUCUUUUUACUUUAAGUUUGCUCUUGUUAUGGAUAAUAAGUGACACAUGCUAUUUUGUUGCCUGGGCUAUCGCUUUAUCUAUAUCUUCCUAACGAACCUCUUUUUACAUACCUAGAUACAUAACAAUUUAUUUCAGUAUAUACAUGUUUACUUUAUUAGAGAUGUAAUGGAUAGACAAAAAUAUUUUUGAAGAAGGCAACAGAUCUCUGGAAGUUUGAACUAAAAACAACAAAUAACUUAGUUCUUGCUGUUCUUAUUUCAUCUGAAAGGAAGAUUAGCAUAGUUACCACAUUGUCACAACAAAGUUUGUUCCUUCUCAUGUAAGGCAUUUUUAAGAUAAGUAUCACUGAUCCAUUGCCACUCAAGUGUGACACCCUAACCUUGAGCCAAAAGAAAUUUUAAGCCUGAAAAAAUUGUUGUACCACCUCAGAAUAGGCUAGAGAAAUUAAAUUGAAUUCUAUAUCAAAAGCUGUACCUUGGUCCAAAACCAGGUCAAUGCCAGAUCAGCUCUCCACCUCAUUGUGACCUGCUGUCACAGAAAAAGCAUGCUCUAUUCUGAAAGGUGUUUGAAUCCACUGGCCUUAUAUGAGCCAGUCUUUUGAGUCUUUUACUGCAGUGCCAGUAAUUGUCAAAUACAGUCAUUUGAAGUACUGAGAAACAACAAAAUGUCUCACUGUGUUUUAUUGAUACAAUUUAAUGGAUAAGAUUGCUUUUGUCUGGUUGAGAGGCACACCUGAAUAGCUGGAGUUAGGUUUAUUUGGUUUAGCUUUUUUGUAUCAUUGUGUAGCAGUGUGACAGAAGUGUCUGUCCAUGCUGACAUGCACACUGGGGUUCAAGAAUUCAAGAUAUACAAUAAAGGUGUCAGUGGUGCCUCUGAAAUAAGUACCGCAUGGUCAGUUGUGGCUGUCAAAUAAAAAAGUCUAACCUGAUAGUGUGUGGAAGCAGUGCUAUUUGGUUUGUAUUUUCGAGACUUUGGCUGAUGAGAACAAACAAUAAUGACAGAAGAAACAUAUAAUAUUUAACCAUGAUGUAUGUGUAUUUGCAACUGCAUAUUUUAACUCCACGUUAUCUUUGUUGUUAAGAUUAUUUUAAAGUGAACUUACUGAACUCAGACCUGGAGAAGUUACAUGAUACCGGUGUAUUUAUGUUGCUUUUGGAUGGUCAUAUUCUUUGGCUCCUUCCAAGAAGAUUAUUAUUAAGGAGAUGUAACACACCACCAAGAGCUCUGAGAAUUUACAUAGCAUCGUUUUUUCUCUGUAUAACACUUCAUGCAAAGGUCAAACUAGGUAUGAAGAACUGUAAAAGCACUAAGCUAUCCCAUUCAUAAAAACAUUAUUUCAGUGUCCCAUGCAUG